Phascolarctos cinereus (koala) is the source of this 525-nucleotide non-coding RNA. NCBI's taxonomy places the organism in Eukaryota, Metazoa, Chordata, Mammalia, Diprotodontia, Phascolarctidae. The record is from RefSeq and is a predicted model, not a curated record.
GGAAGACAGCAGAAAAACAGAAAAGGAGCAAAUCCAAGGCACCGAGAUGAACAAAGUCAGAAGAAGUUUAAGAGAUUUUCCCAGGACGACUAGCUGGUGGUAGAACUUGGACUCAGAUCUCCUGUCUCCCCAUUUAGCAAAGCACGAUGCAAACUGCUGCUGGUUUCCCAGUGGAGAGGAGGUGGGGGUAGAGGAGAAGCUGAGGCAAGUACUACCCAUCUCUACUAGGCUCCCCCCAGCAAAAAGCACCCCUACAUACUGAAGGUUCUUGCUAGCGACUAGGGUGACAGGCUCAGGGAUCCGUGGGAGGUAACUGUAUCCCAUAAAUUGAAUGAAAUGUAAAAUGUUCAGAUUGGGAUGGCAAAGGAGGAGGGGGAAGGGGAGCGGGCGCGGUAGGGGGGAAGGGGACAAGACUCUGUGCUCCCAUGGUCCCUGCCCCCCCCCUCAAAACAGGCCGGAACCCCGGAAGGAGAUGGAGGGGGUCCUGGUAGGAGAAAGUCAACUGAAUUAGAGGAAGCAAAAGAC